RNAcentral lists this long non-coding RNA (453 nucleotides) under Homo sapiens (human). Its description in RNAcentral is "non-protein coding lnc-PLET1-4:1". The record is from RNAcentral. Lineage: Eukaryota; Metazoa; Chordata; Mammalia; Primates; Hominidae.
CCUCCCAAAGCUGAAGCCAAAGCAAAGGCUUUGAAGACCAAGAAGGCAGUGCUGAAAGCCAUCAACAGCUAUAAAAAAUAAAAAUAAAAAAUAAAAAUAAAUCUGCCCAUCACCCACCUUCCGGGCUCGAGACACCACGGCUCCAAAGGCAGCCCAAAUAUGCUCAGAAGAGCGCCCCCAGGGGAAACAACCUUGACCACUGUGCCAUCAGCACAUUCCCCCUGACCACUGAGUCGGCCACAAAGAAGGUAGAGGACAACAACACGCUUGUGUUUGCUGUCGUUGUUAAACCCAACAAGCAGCAGAUCAAACAGGCUUGAAGAAACUCUACGACGUUGGUGUAGUCCAGGUCAACACCCUGAUUAGGCCUGAUGGAGAAAAGAGGGCAUAUGUUCCACUGGCGCUCCUAACUGUGAUGCUUUGGAUGUUGCCAACAAAAAUUGAGACCAUCUA